UAAAUCACGUAUUAAAACUACUUAACUCAUUUUCCUUUUUUGCUUCAGCUAUGAAGACGCUAAAUUUACCCGGGCAUGGUGGCUCACGCCUAUAAUCCCAGCACUCAGGAGGCUGAGGCAGGAGGAUCAUUGUCUUGCUUCCAGGCCUUCGCUUCCCGUUCCUUCUGACAUCUCACUGCCCACCUGGAUUCCAAAC
Molecule: long non-coding RNA, 196 nt
Filed under: Cavia porcellus (domestic guinea pig)
Lineage: Eukaryota; Metazoa; Chordata; Mammalia; Rodentia; Caviidae
Description: lncRNA (ENSCPOG00000033775.1)
Source: RNAcentral